Molecule: ribosomal RNA, 253 nt
Filed under: uncultured bacterium
Lineage: Bacteria
Description: partial 16S ribosomal RNA
Rfam family: Bacterial small subunit ribosomal RNA
Source: RNAcentral
UACGAGUGCCCCAAGCGUUAUCCGGAAUCAUUGGGCGUAAAGGGUGUGUAGGUGGUCUGUUUAGUCUCUUGUCAAAUUCUUCGGCUCAACCGGGGGUCCGCAAGGGAAACGGGCAGACUAGAGGAUGUGAGGGGUCAGUGGAACUCAUGGAGUAGGGGUGAAAUCCGUUGAUAUCAUGGGGAACACCAAAAGCGAAGGCAACUGACUGGCGCAUUCCUGACACUGAAACACGAAAGCGUGGGUAGCGAACUGG